Molecule: ribosomal RNA, 438 nt
Filed under: uncultured bacterium
Lineage: Bacteria
Description: bacterial SSU rRNA
Rfam family: Bacterial small subunit ribosomal RNA
Source: RNAcentral
AAUGAACGCUGGCGGCAGGCCUAACACAUGCAAGUCGAACGAAGUCUUCGGACUUAGUGGCGGACGGGUGAGUAACGCGUGGGAACAUACCCAAAGGUACGGAAUAGCCUCGGGAAACUGGGAGUAAUACCGUAUGUGCCCUUCGGGGGAAAGAUUUAUCGCCUUUGGAUUGGCCCGCGUUGGAUUAGGUAGUUGGUGGGGUAAUGGCCUACCAAGCCGACGAUCCAUAGCUGGUUUGAGAGGAUGAUCAGCCACACUGGGACUGAGACACGGCCCAGACUCCUACGGGAGGCAGCAGUGGGGAAUCUUAGACAAUGGGCGCAAGCCUGAUCUAGCCAUGCCGCGUGAUCGAUGAAGGCCUUAGGGUUGUAAAGAUCUUUCAGAUGGGAAGAUAAUGACGGUACCAUCAGAAGAAGCCCCGGCUAACUCCGUGCCAGC